This is a non-coding RNA of Obba rivulosa, 88 nucleotides long. Lineage: Eukaryota; Fungi; Basidiomycota; Agaricomycetes; Polyporales; Gelatoporiaceae. The record is from the annotation of a GenBank genome assembly.
GCCCCCGUUGUCUAAUGGCUAUGACGUCAGACUUCUAGGGCUUCAUCCCUUCAUCUGGAGGUUGCGGGUUCGAGUCCCGCCGGGGGUA